AUGGCCGCAGGUGGUGCUUCUCUUCUUGCUGCUGCUGUUGUUAUUGUUUUCUCCAUGCUGAUCACGUCCUCCCUGGGGGGCCCGAGGCCUUUAUGCAGCUACUGCGAGACUCAAUGCCGUACCAGCUGUGAGGCAGAGGCUAAAACACGCUGCAGUGGUUACUGCAGCCGUGGUGGCGGAGCUCGAGGGGGCUGCACGAAAUACGUCCUUGAUGAGUGCAACGUAAAGGGUACCUGCUGCAGUAGCAACGGCACAUGCACUUGCGACUGCAACGCUGUGGCUGAAAGGGGUUGCAUGCACUUCAGCGACGGCACCCUACAAUGUGGACCUUGCACGCGCAGCAUAUUCGACCAGGGCUAUCCCACCUGCAAAAAGGACUGCAACAACAACUGCAAGAAGAAAGGGUGCCGCCAUGCCUAG
This 420-nucleotide ribosomal RNA is filed under the name Triticum aestivum (bread wheat). Its description in RNAcentral is "partial small subunit ribosomal RNA". The record is from RNAcentral. Lineage: Eukaryota; Viridiplantae; Streptophyta; Magnoliopsida; Poales; Poaceae.